AACUCCAUAACUCACUAACCACAGAAACAGAGAGAAGCAACUAGGAACGGCAAGUUCGAACUGAAAGAGCUACUGAACUAACUAAACGAUAAGAAGUUAAAGAGGAAGAGUAGUUUUUUAAGCAGAUAGUCUUCUGAACUACGUACACCCAAGUCUUCCACUUGUCCGCACUUCCCCUAGUGAGUGAGGGUCGAUAAAAAUUAUCAUCAUUCUAUC
RNAcentral lists this long non-coding RNA (216 nucleotides) under Lathyrus oleraceus (garden pea). RNAcentral describes it as "Pisum sativum (pea) long non-coding RNA (PSAT_LNC025381)". The record is from RNAcentral. Lineage: Eukaryota; Viridiplantae; Streptophyta; Magnoliopsida; Fabales; Fabaceae.